UACGGAGGGGGCAAGCGUUAUUCGGAUUUACUGGGCGUAAAGCGCACGUAGGUGGCACGGUAAGUCAAAGGUGAAAGCCCUCGGCUCAACCGAGGAACUGCCUUUGAAACUGCUUUGCUUGAGUCCGGGAGGGGGGAGCGGAAUUCCCAGUGUAGCGGUGAAAUGCGUAGAUACUGGGAGGAACACCGGUGGCGAAGGCGGCUCCCUGGACCGGUACUGACACUGAGGUGCGAAAGCGUGGGUAGCAAACAGG
RNAcentral lists this ribosomal RNA (253 nucleotides) under uncultured bacterium. Its description in RNAcentral is "partial 16S ribosomal RNA". It matches the Rfam family "Bacterial small subunit ribosomal RNA", at positions 524 to 776 of the family's 1533-position model. The record is from RNAcentral.